Molecule: ribosomal RNA, 303 nt
Filed under: uncultured bacterium
Lineage: Bacteria
Description: partial 16S ribosomal RNA
Rfam family: Bacterial small subunit ribosomal RNA
Source: RNAcentral
AGCAGUCGCCGCGGUAAUACGAAGGGGGCUAGCGUUGUUCGGAAUUACUGGGCGUAAAGCGCACGUAGGCGGACAUUUAAGUCAGGGGUGAAAUCCCGGGGCUCAACCCCGGAACUGCCUUUGAUACUGGGUGUCUAGAGUAUGGAAGAGGUGAGUGGAAUUCCGAGUGUAGAGGUGAAAUUCGUAGAUAUUCGGAGGAACACCAGUGGCGAAGGCGGCUCACUGGUCCAUUACUGACGCUGAGGUGCGAAAGCGUGGGGAGCAAACAGGAUUAGAUACCCCAGUAGUCCCUGUCUCUUAUAC